This 72-nucleotide microRNA precursor is filed under the name Tursiops truncatus (common bottlenose dolphin). RNAcentral describes it as "miRNA (ENSTTRG00000024736.1)". The record is from RNAcentral. Lineage: Eukaryota; Metazoa; Chordata; Mammalia; Artiodactyla; Delphinidae.
UAGGGUGACCAACCAUCCUGGUUUGCCUGGGACUGUGUGGUUUUAGCACUGUAAGUCCUGUGUCCCAGGACA